This 9979-nucleotide long non-coding RNA is filed under the name Sorghum bicolor (sorghum). RNAcentral describes it as "long non-coding RNA (SBIC_LNC012421)". The stretch from base 4783 to 4889 matches the Rfam family "Plant small nucleolar RNA R71". Lineage: Eukaryota; Viridiplantae; Streptophyta; Magnoliopsida; Poales; Poaceae. The record is from RNAcentral.
AAGAUUGACUCCUUCUAGUUCUAAUCCUAUGUAGCUAUGCUAAUCUAGAUGUCUAAUUGAUGUGGUGGCCCUAAUCUUGAUCAGGGGCUUCUUCUCCCUUGAAGAACAAUGAAUUAGGGUUGAGAGGCUCCCUCCUCCAGGGGCCAGGGGGUCUGGUUUUAUAGUCCCUUCAAGUGAAUAUGGGCCGUUGGAUCAAACCGACAUAGAUUGUAUGGUUUAGAUUCAUCCUUUAGGUCGGUGGAAAUCUCCCGCAAAGCAGAGUCCUGAUUGGACUCAGAGGCAGGGCGGGCGCCCAGGGUCUGGCCCCGUUUCGCCUCCGCUUCGGUCUCGUGGCUUCUGGAGUCUUCUAGAUGUAAGAUAAUUGCGCGUCACGUUAAUAUCUUUACGUAAUCCCGACGUGUGGGUCUUUCUUCCGUAUUUCCUGAUAACUCCCUGCAGAAAUAGACAAACACCAAAACUCGUGGAAUUCUGUCAGAUAAAACCCUAAGUCUAGAUGUUGAUUUCAUUUGGAUCCUUUUCUUUGUUUAUUUGAUAAUUAAAUUUGAUACUUAAGGACCGUCAACAAACUCCCCCAAGCUUACCUCUUGCUCGUCCCUGAGCAAGGAUAGACUCAGCUAUGGAUCAUAAGUUGUUGCAAUAUAUUUAAAAAUUGACGGUACACAUGCUUUUUAAAUAAGAUCUCAUCUCUAAGUUAGAGUAAACUGUCAAGACUUAAAACUUACUUACUUUACCUUCACCAUGGGACUUGUAACUGUCACUUCUAUCUUGAGUAGUUAAACGAUAGAACAGUCUAGUCAAGUGCCAUGUCUCUUAUUCUUGAUCAGCUAUAGCUCUGGGGUUUUUGCAGAUUUUCAAAUAAAACUCAGAGAUUCCUUGUAUGACUCUCUCAGAUCUCUCUUUUGUGGUAUUUCUGGAUCCUUACCAAGGCAGUAAUGGUAUAUGCCUUCUCACAAUAUAUGUGGUAUUUGUGGUAUAAAGCAUAGUGACAUUGCCUUCUCUCUCACCCUACUCUAAUAAGGCUUUAAUAUCUGGAGCUCAUAGGUGGGAGAUAAAGUAUACAUACUUACAAGACAUGUAUUGUAUAGUCAAACCAUGGAUCCAAAGAAACAAAUCAAUAAGCCAAAUCAAGAUGUGCAUGUGUGGCGAAUGAAUGAUGUAUGGUGGUGAUGGUGAUAACAAUGGUGAAAACAAUGGUGGUGGAAGUCUAAUUCUACUUUGCUCUUUGAGGGGAUACAUACCUUCCUUGCUUUUUUUUUGAAUUUAUGAGGAGAAUGAGAUGCUCUUCUUUUUUUCUUUUCUCUCAGGUGGGUAUCUUGUACCCCUAAUUCUACUGUCGGACACUUGUCCAUUUUUACCUCUCGUCUCACUCUCUCUUUUCUUUCGAGGUUCCGAGCACUUGCACCUUUUUAUUUCCUCAUAUUUCUCUUUUUUUUUCUUUUUCUUUUUUUUAGAGCAUUCAUCUCUUGAGAUAAUAUAGCAAGUGGUAGUAACAAGAUAACUUGAGCAUUUAUUUCACAAGGGAAACAUAAAUAUUUUUGGCUAUUCUCUCCCGGAUUAGGAGUAGAAUAUUUUUGGGUGAUUCUGGAGAUGGAAUGGGUGGAUAUAUGUGGAUGGUACUUCCGGAGUAGAAGUAGCAUAUAUGAGUGAACGUACAAGUGAAUCUUGAUUUAACCACAUGACAAGUUCCUAAGGGUCUACACAGCUUGACCACACUCAAUGCUCAUAAGCAGUAAAUAGUAAAUGUGUGGCUCAAAGUCUAGCAAGCAUGUAUAUAUGGCUGUGGUAGGAAUUUAAACUCUCAUCAUACAUGAACUCAUCAUGCAACAUUUUAAAGAUUUUCAAAGAUAAAAUUCUCUAGAAAUCUAGCAUCUCUAGGAACAGAUAAACAGCAGCUCAACCUUCCCAUAUCGUAUCCGUUAACAACUUAGACUUCAGAUCAAAUUUUCAUCCCACAAGUUUAGGUCUAGAGCAAGCUUUAAAUUAUAACAGUUAUAUAUAUCCUUGAGAGUGAACUUAAAAUGUGCAAAUUAGGCAGAGCAACUAUUCAUCAUUUCCAUACUUAAGUUUUAUUUAGAUACAGAUUAGCAUCGCCACUUUAUUUAUUUAUUAAACACACUAAGCAAAAGAUAUAUAUAUAAGCUUAAAAUCUUUAUUUGGUUUUUUAUAGUUUAUGUAUAUUUAAUAUUCUAAUAUAAUAUAAGUAUAAAGAUAGAUAGAAAUACUUAUCGAGAUAAAUGGGGGUGCUCUCUCCCAAGCUGAAUUUUGACGUAAUUUCUCUUGAUGUAGCUAGCAGGUGGCAGAGGUGUAUUUGAAAGUCAGCAGCAUUCUGACAGCGAUUAGAAUGUCCUCCGUCUGCUAGUCUUCUUGAUUCUUAAAUUCUGCGGAGCUCAAAUAGACAACAAAGCUUGUGGAACUGAUUAAGUGUUAGCAUAAAUAUCUAGCCUUUAUCAUCUUGAGACUCCUUAAUAAUUAUUACUCCCUGUUUUUAUAUUUUUAUUUUAUAAAGCAGAAAAGAAAUUUUUAUUUUAUUUUUAUGCCACCACAGUGAAUGUACUUAUGGGUUUUAUGCCACUCGCAUACUCACAUGGGGCUUACUGUUUUUCGCAUUUUUAUUUUCUUUUAUUUUUAAGAUAGUACGAACAUGAUUAACUAAGUAAACUAGUUGAAAUAAUUGAAAAGGAAAGGAUAACUACCAAGUUUACCUCUCGGCAAGGCGUUCGGUGUUUUUUAAGUCCUCCGAACGGGACUCUCCAUUUUUUCAGUAGUCCUGAGGUUCGUUGGUGGUGUAGUCGGUACUUCCAGCGGCGCCUCCUCUUCAUGUAUAGUUAUCUUCAUUUUCCACACCUGACUUGGUGCUUCGGUCUACUCUGGAUAAUUCUGUUUAAACUCUACGUUUUCUGACCUUACAACUUUUCCUUCAUAGUCUGCCCAUCCGUCCUUGAUGAUCUGCCUCCUCUGGUUGCGGUUACGUCUUUUCCUUACCUGCUUAGAUUCUUCAACGAUAUAGUUAGGGUCAGUAAAAUAACGGCGUACCUUCUCUAAGGGGAAGUGCAUAUGGACUUCUCCGGUUCCAAUGUAGAUAAUUGCUUUAACGGUGCUGAGGAACGGUCUUCCAAGGAUGAUGGGUGGAUCGUACUUGUCUUCUCCCAUGUCAAUAACUUGAAAGUCUGUGUAGACAAAGUGAUCGUCUAUUUUGACUGGGACAUCAGUUACUAUUCCUUUAACUUCUCAAAAUGUCUGAUCUGCCAUCUGGAGUUGAAUGUAUGUUGGUCUUAGUGGCAUGGUUCCAAACAAGAGCCGAUAGGUGACUGCGGCCAUUAUGUUGACGCCCGAUCCAGUGUCGCAAAUCAUCUUGAAGAAACUAUAUCCAUUUAUGGAGCAGUAGAUGCUUGGCAUUCCUAGGUCGUCCUUCUUGGUCAAAAGCGGUGACUUAAGUUGGUGAUCUUGGCCUCCAUGAACUACAGUGACCAUCUUAGCUGACUCGGUCCACACUUGCUUGUUCCUGUUCCUCCUGUUGGUCCUCUUCCUUGACUCACGUCUGGAUUGAUCUGGAAUUUUUGUAAUCUUUUUCUUGAAGAAAAAUGUCUCCUUCUUCCCUUUGACGUAGAAACUGAUCUUGGCAGCACUAGCGUAGAUGAUAGCUCCCGUGGUGUUCAAGAAUGGCCUCCCUAAGAUGAUGGGUGCUCUCUCAUCAUUUCCGGUCUUUACCACUACGAAGUCUGCUAGGGCAUACAAGGUACCAACUCGGACGCAAAGGUUCUUCAAUAUUCCCUUUGGAAAAGUUAUCGUCUGAUCUGCAAAUUGCAAACACAUGGUUGUUUCUAAUAAAAGAUAUGUAAAGAAUUUUUCAUAGAGUACCCUGGUUAUAAUGUUGACACUGGAGCCAAAGUCGCAGAGUGCUUCUGGAACGUCCACCAUGCCGAUAGAGAUCGGGAUGACGGGGCGUCCUGGAUCGCCUCUCUUGACCGGCAGAAGGUCAGUAGAGAAUUUAGUGACGGGGUUACUUCCAAUUACCUGCAUCAAACGUGUCUACAAGAUUUGCAGAUUCUAAUCCUUCCGGUUGUGAUUGUAUACCGGGGUUAGUAGUAGGAACAGCAACAGCUAUUUGAUUUAACUGAGAUUCAAUCAUUUUAUUAAAGCUAAUUUGAUUCUUGAUGGCAGUAGAGAAAUUAUCCAUUCUAUUAUUUAUAUUUUCUAGCAUUUUAUCAUUAGAUGCCAAUUUCUUAGAUAGAUUAUCCAUUAGCUUUCCUUGAUUAGACACUAACUCUCUCAAAGGUGGAAAAUUAUUAGCAUUAUUGUUGUAAGAAUUGUUACCUUGAUAAUUACCUGAGUAGUUAGGCCUCUGUUGAUUCCAACCUUGAUUUUGUUGAGGACGGUUGUAGUAGUUGUUGUUGUUGAUGAUGUAGUUCACAUCCUCAAGCAUCUCAGGGCAGUGGUUGCCUGAGUGUCCAGUGUCUCCACACUCCUCACAAGUCAUGUGAGAGUCGUAGAUGUGCAUAACUUCUUUCUUGUCUCCAACUCUAUCAUCGAGCUUCUUCAUGAGCAGGUCUAGCUUUUGCAGACAGCAUGUCUACAUCUUUCAGCUGAUGCAUACCUCCACCUCUCUUGCGUGUCUGGGUCCUCUCUUCAUUCCAGCUUUGGUUGGACGCCAUCUUCUCCACAAGAGCUGUGGCUUGUGGUAUUGUAAGUGAUAAGAAUGCUCCUCCAGCUGCAGCAUCCAUGGUCUCUCGGGCACUGUUGCCGAGCCCAUGAUAAAACGUCUGCAUUAAUAGCCAACUCUCCAUUCCAUGAUGGGGACAUUCUAGGAUGUAGUCUUGAAAGCGCUCCCAUGCUUCUGGAACAAAUUCAUCAUUUUGUUGCUGAAAACUUGUAAUCUUCCCACGGAGAGCAUUGGUCUUGCCCAUGGGAAAGAACUUAGCCAAAAAGUUUGUUGAGCAGAGUGCCCACGUAGUAUUCUUCUCCUUUGUAGCGUAGAACCACUGCUUCGCUCUUCCUCACAGUGAGAAUGGGAAGAGGCGAAGUAGUAUAGCAUCUUUGGGAACUCCUGAUAUGGUGAAUGUGUUGCAAAUCUCCAAGAAGUGUUGUAAAUGAGCACUAGCAUCUUCGUGUGCCUUCCCACAGAACUGGUUGGAUUGCACCAUGUUGAUAAGUCCAGGCUUGAGCUCAAAGUUGCCAUCGAUCUCUGCAGCAGGUCCAGUGCGGAUGUUGUCCGUAGUGGGAGCUGAGAACUCGCGGAUUGAUUUGUUCGCCAUGGCUUCAAACUCUGAAGACAAGUUCCGGUGAUCUUCUUGAUUUGGAUGAAGCUUCUUGCUGAAGUGUUGAUGAUUUCUUUAGCUUGGCUCUCGUCUUCUUGAAUAAUGCUUCGGGAUUAUUAACAAAAUUUCCUGGAAGAUGUCUUCUAUUCAUACAUUCCCCUGCAUAAGAUGAAAUAGGAAAAUAUCGGGGUAAAACUGUAUGAGAGAAUAGAUAAGCUCAAUCAUAUUAGUGAUGCAAAUGAUAACUCAAAAUCUUUUAUUCCAUUCCUGAUUAGUAAUCAACCUUCCCCGGCAACGGCGCCAAAAAUGCUUGUUGGGUAUUCUUAACAUCAUUACCAAAAGUAGCUAAGUUCUCUAAAUCUAGUAACGGUGCCAAAAAUGCCAAACCUAUCCCUCACACCACUUAAGCCAAGUUGUCAUCCCCAACAUGAUAUAAGAGACGCGGUAUUGAAAUAUGCAAUUGCUCUUCUAAAUAAAUAAUGAAUGGGAUCUGCAAGCGCACAGAUUAAUACCGAUGCAGCAUUUUAACCGGGAAGUAUUCCAGGUAUCGUUAUUUAUAUUUUUACCACUGGGAAGGGAUUAGCAAUCAUCAAUAUUGAUUACAGAAUAGAAUAUGAGAUUGAGCAUCUAUCAUUGCAUGUAUAAUUGAGAACAUUAUAUCUAACUCAUCAUACAGGGAUAAGUGUCACAUAAAAGAUAUAUGAAAUAGUGAAUAGUGACAAGGAUAAUUAAUCUGAUCUAGCCACAUAAUAAAUAUGAUAAGCACCUCAAUUAGAUACUCUAGAAAGUCAUUAGCAUGGUAUUAGAACGAACUACAUGAAUAUUCCCUAAGUUAUUCUCAACUAUAUAGUCUAGCAUUAUCAUAAUUAGUGCAAGCAUACUUAGCAAUCAUCGCGAGACAAGACUACGCCCAUGCAUAGUGAUAUUAGCAAGGAAUAUGAGAAACAUAGCAAUCACUCCCCUUUAAUAAUGUUGCUCUGCCAACCCAAUACACGAGAGGGGGACUAUAUAAGAAUCAAUGAAGCUGUCACUAUCACGAACUACCCCACGAUCUGGCAUAUUGGGUACAAUCACAGAUAAAUACGGUAUAAGCACCACGCCUACACAAUAUCUAUCAUUUACCCAUGGAUCCGAUGGAUAAACGCUAUACGAUCCUAAGCAUGUAUAUAGAUCGAAUCUAACUAAGCCAAGUACAUAACUAUGAUAAACUAAGAACAAUAUAAUCUUGAAUAUAAGCAAGUAGAGCAAAGUCAUAAGCAAUAUAUUGAAGUAGAACAAAGUCAUAUUCAUAAUAUUGAAGAACAAAGAUAAUUAGAAGGCAAUUAGAAGCACAAUUAGAGAAUUACCAAGAAUCCUCUUGACAGAUCCGGAAACCAAUCGAAGAUUGACUCCUUCUAGUUCUAAUCCUAUGUAGCUAUGCUAAUCUAGAUGUCUAAUUGAUGUGGUGGCUCUAAUCUUGAUCAGGGGCUUCUUCUCCCUUGAAGAACAAUGAAUUAGGGUUGAGAGGCUCCCUCCUCCAGGGGCCAGGGGGUCUGGUUUUAUAGUCCCUUCAAGUGAAUAUGGGCCGUUGGAUCAAACCGACAUAGAUUGUAUGGUUUAGAUUCAUCCUUUAGGUCGGUGGAAAUCUCCCGCAAAGCAGAGUCCUGAUUGGACUCAGAGGCAGGGCGGGCGCCCUGACCAACUGGGCGGGCGCCCAGGGUCUGGCCCCGUUUCGCCUCCGCUUCGGUCUCGUGGCUUCUGCAGUCUUCUAGAUGUAAGAUAAUUGCGCGUCACGUUAAUAUCUUUACGUAAUCCCGACGUGUGGGUCUUUCUUCCGUAUUUCCUGAUAACUCCCUGCAGAAAUAGACAAACACAAAAACUCGUGGAAUUCUGUCAGAUAAAACCCUAAGUCUAGAUGUUGAUUUCAUUUGGAUCCUUUUCUUUGUUUAUUUGAUAAUUAAAUUUGAUACUUAAGGACCGUCAACAAACUCCCCCAAGCUUACCUCUUGCUCGUCCCUGAGCAAGGAUAGACUCAGCUAUGGAUCAUAAGUUGUUGCAAUAUAUUUAAAAAUUGACGGUACACAUGCUUUUUAAAUAAGAUCUCAUCUCUAAGUUAGAGUAAACUGUCAAGACUUAAAACUUACUUACUUUACCUUCACCAUGGGACUUGUAACUGUCACUUCUAUCUUGAGUAGUUAAAAGAUAGAACAGUCUAGUCAAGUGCCAUGUCUCUUAUUCUUGAUCAGCUAUAGCUCUGGGGUUUUUGCAGAUUUUCAAAUAAAACUCAGAGAUUCCUUGUAUGAUUCUCUCAGAUCUCUCUUUUGUGGUAUUUCUGGAUCCUUACCAAGGCAGUAAUGGUAUAUGCCUUCUCUCAAUAUAUGUGGUAUUUGUGGUAUAAAGCAUAGUGACAUUGCCUUCUCUCUCACCCUACUCUAAUAAGGCUUUAAUAUCUGGAGCUCAUAGGUGGGAGAUAAAGUAUACAUACUUACAAGACAAGUAUUGUAUAGUCAAACCAUGGAUCCAAAGAAACAAAUCAAUAAGCCAAAUCAAGAUGUGCAUGUGUGGCGAAUGAAUGAUGUAUGGUGGUGAUGGUGAUAACAAUGGUGAAAACAAUGGUGGUGGAAGUCUAAUUCUACUUUGCUCUUUGAGGGGAUACAUACCUUCCUUGCUUUUUUUUUGAAUUUAUGAGGAGAAUGAGAUGCUCUUCUUUUUUUCUUUUCUCUCAGGUGGGUAUCUUGUACCCCUAAUUCUACUGUCGGACACUUGUCCAUUUUUACGUCUCGUCUCACUCUCUCUUUUCUUUCGAGGUUCCGAGCACUUGCUCCUUUUUAUUUCCUCGUAUUUCUCUUUUUUUUUCUUUUUCUUUUUUUUAGAGCAUUCAUCUCUUGAGAUAAUAUAGCAAGUGGUAGUAACAAGAUAACUUGAGCAUUUAUUUCACAAGGGAAAACAGAAAUAUUUUUGGCUAUUCUCUCCCGGAUUAGGAGUAGAAUAUUUUUGGGUGAUUCCGGAGUAGAAGUAGCAUAUAUGAGUGAACGUGCAAGUGAAUCUUGAUUUAACCACAUGACAAGUUCGUAAGGGUCUACACAGCUUGACCACACUCAAUGCUCAUAAGCAGUAAAUAGUAAAUGUGUGGCUCAAAGUCUAGCAAGCAUGUAUAUAUGGCUGUGGUAGGAAUUUAAACUCUCAUCAUACAGGAACUCAUCAUGCAACAUUUUAAAGAUUUUCAAAGAUAAAAUUCUCUAGAAAUCUAGCAUCUCUAGGAACAGAUAAACAGCAGCUCAACCUUCCCAUAUCGUAUCCGUUAACAACUUAGACUUCAGAUCAAAUUUUCAUCCCACAAGUUUAGGUCUAGAGCAAGCUUUAAAUUAUAACAGUUAUAUCUAACCUUGAGAGUGAACUUAAAAUGUGCAAAUUAGGCAGAGCAACUAUUCAUCAUUUCCAUGCUUAAGUUUUAUUUAGAUACAGAUUAGCAUCGCCACUUUAUUUAUUUAUUAAACACACUAAGCAAAAGAUAUAUAUAUAAGCUUAAAAUCUUUAUUUGGUUUUUUAUAGUUUAUGUAUAUUUAAUAUUCUAAUAUAAUAUAAGUAUAAAGAUAGAUAGAAAUACUUAUCGAGAUAAAUGGGGGUGCUCUCUCCCAAGCUGAAUUUUGACGAAGUCAGCAGCAUUCUGACAGCGAUUAGAAUGUCCUCCGUCUGCUAGUCUUCUUGAUUCUUAAAUUCUGCGGAGCUCAAAUAGACAACAAAGCUUGUGGAACUGAUUAAGUGUUAGCAUAAAUAUCUAGCCUUUAUCAUCUUGAGACUCCUUAAUAAUUAUUACUCCCUGUUUUUAUAUUUUUAUUUUAUAAAGCAGAAAAGAAAUUUUUAUUUUAUUUUUAUGCCACCACAGUGAAUGUACUUAUGGGUUUUAUGCCACUCGCAUACUCACAUGUACUUAUGGGUUUUAUGACUUUCCUUACCGUUCCUAUGUGUUUCCCUCUUGAUUCCCUUUUUUGACUCCCUGGCAACGGCGCCAGAAAUGCUUGUUGACACUAGCUAACACCACUUAGAUACUAUGUUGUCAUCCCCAGCAUGGUGCCAGAGUGUACAAAGGUAUUUAUGAAUAUGGAGGCUCUCUAGAAAAUAAUCUAUUCUAUCCACAUGCGCACAGAUAAAAUACCUCAUUGUAGCAUUUCACCAGGAAAGUAUUCUAGGUAUCGUUAUUUAUAAUUUUGCUUAAGACAACAAGGGUGAAAUUAAGAUAAGGAUAAAAUCUAUCAAGGCAUAGACUAGAGAUAAACUUGCAACAACAUGAUUACUAAUGAGGAACUCGUCACACAGUCACUUAUUUUGGCAGGGGGUAAGCCAUAAUAAUAAUGAUAAUGAAAUAUAAGCCCAUGGGUAAUUAACACAGCGAUUAGAAAAUAGACUACUCCUGGUGACGUCGGAUUAGCUAGAGAAUGGAUUCUAAGUUAUCUACUAUCUACUAAGUCACAAUCUACUCUAGUUAUCUACAAGAUCAUAUAUAGCAUAAAACACUCUUCAUUUAUGUAUAAGGAACAUUGCUAAAGUAAAUCAGAGCAUUGCAAGACUUACUCCGCAAUACAAAUUCUGCCAGUCCUAUCAACGGAGGGUGGACUAUAUAAGAAUCAACGAAGCUGUCACUAUCACAAACUACCACACAACCCGACUAAUAGGAUACAUUUGCAGGUAAAUAACAUCUAAGCACCACGCCCACAUGUGAUCUACCACUUAACUCCCACGUGUCA